UUUUUUUUUUUUUUUACACAAGAUUUUACAUAAGGAAAAUGCGCCCUAAUUAACUACACAAUACAGAAUUUUCAAUUUUUCUUUUUUUUUUGUGUUUGUCGCCUUAUGAAUGUUUUUGUAUUUUAAUAUUAAUUUUAUUUUAAGCUCUCGACGUGUUGAUGUGUAACGAUAUGUUAGUGUAGGUGUCUGUGAUUGUUUGUAAAACGUGUUUUUUGUGGUUGAAUAUAUUAACUGCAUACACAUGUACUCGUAAAUUGUGUGCAAAAAGAAAACUUUUUAGUAAAGUUAAACGUGUGAAAUAAGUCCUUUGACGUUGUCGUAGCAGAGCAAAUAGGAAAACCAAUAUUGAAAACUGUAAUUUCCAUAUUGUUUUCAAAGAAGAAGUGAAAAAACUGACAUGUAAAAUUAUGCAAGAAUAAUGCAAUUUAUGAAAAGAAAGCAAGAGAAAUAUGUUACAACAACAUGAUGAGAAAAAACAAUUGAAAAACGAAGUAAAACAAAGUACGUGUAAAAAAUUUGUUGAAAAAGACAUAGAAGAAGAGGGAGAGAAAAGUGCGUUAAUUAUUAAAUUUGAGUAAAAGCUGAAGGGCCGCCCGUCAUUAACAUCAGCUGUUAGGUUGAAAGUCAAGGACACUAAAACGUUUUCUUUGUCUCUAAUAAUUAUGCCUGCCUUUAAUGUUAACGAUGGCGUUUACAACAACUUGAUUAUAAUGAUGAUGCUGCUGAUGACUGUAAUAACGAUAAUGACGACAACCAUUACAGUAACAACUUAAUGCAAGUUGGCUUUAAUGUACGAUUAGAUAGCAUCAUUCACAAUAGCACUUAAACGACGACGGAUGAUAGAGAAAGAUUCUUUUUAAAGAAAAUAAUAAUAAAAAAAAAAAAAAAAAUUAAAAUAAACAGUGGAAUUUAAAAAAAAAAAGAAUAGAAAACGCAAAUAAUUGUGCUGUCAAUCGGCUGUCUAAUGGUUUGAAAGGUACACCAAGCUGCAGUCAAUCUUUUCGCUGAUACACUGAAAACGAAAAUAAUAAUUCCAACGUCAUGCCUGAACAGGAUAAUUAUGAUGAUGAGCUGGUUUCCGGUAAUACAAAUCAACGCAAUUGGCGUGGCAUACUUAUUGCUUUACUGGUCAUAACCAUAGUUUUGGCAUUGAUUGUUACGUCCGUGGUACUGCUCACACCCCCCGAUGAGGGACCGAGAGUAAAAGGACAACGCAUUAAAUUACAAGAAAUAGUUGAUGGUCUGUUUAUGCCACAAAAAUCGAAUGGCACUUGGAUAAAUGACGAAGAAUUUUUAUACCAAGAUCGUUGGGGACGCAUUUGUCUUUUAAAUGUUGCCAAUCUAACUGAACGUGUCUUAAUGUCUAAUGUUACAUUUAAAACUUUAUCGUCACAUACAUUUUCCAUAUCAGCGGAUAAGCGUUAUUUACUAUUAUCGCACAAUGUCAACCGACUUUUUCGUCAUUCUUUUUUGGCUCAAUACAUUCUGUUUGACAUUCAAACAAGCGAAAGUAUUAAAUUGAAAAUCGAUGCCAGAAACGAUGAAUGGCCCUAUUUGCAUUAUGCUCGAUUCACACCCUAUAGCAAUGCACUUAUUCUCGUUUACAAUUACGACAUUUACUACUGCCAAGGAGCGCGUAGCCAACAAGUGCAUCGUAUAACACGUGAUGCUAUACCCGGUAUUAUCUAUAAUGGCAUUCCUGAUUGGUUGUAUGAAGAGGAAAUACUCAAUUCGAAUAAUGCUAUUUGGAUGUCACAUUAUGGCCAUAUGAUGUUAUACGCAUCAUUUAAUGAUUCACUAGUGCAAGAACAACAUUUUGCUUGGUAUGGUACAACGGGUGAUGGCGAUAGUGGGGUCGGUCUUUUCGGUCUUGGUGUUGGCACAAUCUCUUCCACCCUAUCAGGUACAUCAGGUCAUACGGACGCAUAUUUGUAUCCGGAAAUAAGGUCAUUAAGAUAUCCUAAACCGGGUACACAAAAUCCUUUUGUGACCGUACGCGUGGCAAAUUUAAGCGAUGCGAAUAAUAUACGCUCGAGAGAUUUGCAGCCACCACAUGUGCUUCUAAACGAAGAUUAUUAUUUUACAAGCGCCAGUUGGAUUAGCGAAACCGAUGUGUGCGUGGUUUGGUUAAACCGCCCGCAAAACUUAUCUGUGGUUAGCAUUUGCAAGAGUCCGAUGUUCAUUUGCGUUGAGACUCAUCGCGUGAGUGGUGAUGGUCGGGGUUGGGUUGACACCGUUUCGGUGCCUUUAUUUGCUGCCAAUGGCACUUCCUACAUAGCCAUAUCACCAUUACGUGAUGGCAGUUCCGGUUACUUCCGUCACAUUGUUCAUGUUCAUGUGGCUAAAAAGCGUGUACUCCCUUUAACCCAUGGACAAUAUGAGGUGAAAACUCUGUUACACUGGGAUCAACAAAACAAUUGGAUUUAUUUUCUUGGCAUACCGGAACGUAUGCCCGCCCAGCAACAUUUGUAUCGGGUUUCCGCUCUUCCACCACGCCACGGAUCACCUUUGUAUGCUCCUGAUUGUCUAACUUGUCCGCGGCAUCGGAAUAAUGACGGCAGUUACAGCUACGAGGCGUAUACCAAGCCACCGCCUAAACUGGUAACAGCGUGGGAUGACGAUUGGGAGAAUUCGGAAGAAGUAUCCAUCAUGCCAGAACCAUCAUUGCCGGUCGAGCAAAAACAUCAUAAAACGACUAAAACGUCUGCUCAAUUGCCAAAUGAAUGUCUAUAUCAUACGGCCCAAUUUCCGCCUUCAGCAAACGCCAAGUUUGUGCUAAUCAAUUGUUUAGGUCCAACAAUUCCUAUCACAAAUAUCUAUAAAUUGCACAAUGACUUAUCAGAACAAUUUGCUAAUAGCAACGGAUUACAUAUGAAACCCAUGGAUUUGUUGAUUACCAUACAAAAUAAUACACGAUUACGAGAAAAGAUGUCGCGUAUAGCAAUGCCUCAAAUUAAAACAUUUCCGGUAAUGAUUUCGGGCGGUUAUCAUGCUCAAGUACGUUUGUAUUUACCACCCGUACUACGAGAGGACGAAAUUACUCGCUACCCGACAAUAUUACACGUGUAUUCGGGACCAGGUACGCAAUUGGUUACCGAUAGAUGGCAUGUUGAUUGGAAUACAUAUUUAGCGGGUUCUAAGGACUACAUAGUUAUUGAAAUUGAUGGAAGAGGUUCAGCUGGUCAGGGCUAUCAGCUGUUGCAUGAAAUCUAUAAACGUUUAGGUUCGGUAGAGGUUUCGGAUCAGUUGGAAGUUAGUGAAUACCUAAGAGAUAAUUUGCAUUUUAUUGAUGGACGUCGUAUGGGUGUCUGGGGCUGGUCUUAUGGUGGUUAUGCGGCAAUCUUGGCCUUAGCAGGUGCUCAAUCAAUAUUUCAAUGCGGUAUAAGUGUUAGUCCCGUAACAAAUUGGAAACUCUACGAUUCUGCCUACACAGAACGUUAUCUAAGUUUUCCCAAUGUUACCGACAAUUAUAAGGGCUACGAGGAGGGGGACCUUACAAAAUAUGUUGAAAAUCUGCGGGAUCGUCAAUUUCUUCUAAUCCAUGGUACAGCGGAUGAUAAUGUUCAUGUUCAGCAAUCUAUGGUUUUGGCCAGGGCUUUAACGGCGAAAGGUGUUCUCUAUAAGCAGCAAAUAUAUCCAGACGAAGGUCAUACUUUGUCCGGUGUUAAACGUCAUCUUUAUCGCUCAAUGACAUCUUUCUUUGAUGAUUGUUUCAAAAAACUGAUUUAAGCUGAAUUCAACUCCGCGUAAGUGGCAUCUUCUCUAAAAUUACCGGACGACAAAAUGGAAAUAAAACUGCCAAGACAUGAAUAACGCAUAUUUACUAGGUCAAGCCAUGGGGAAUGGCGAAUGAAUUCCACAAAAUAAUAUUGGAUGCUUCUUGACCGAAAGAGCCCGAACUAGACAACGCGAUGGACAUUCGGAAGACAGCAGUGUGACAACAGCUAUUUCAGUCGAGCGCAGAAAAUCAAAUAGUUACAAGUUCGGAUAGAUUCCUAGGGUAUAAAGACUUGAUUUUAUCAAUUGAGUAUAGCCCUCAGAGUUCCGGGCACAUCUUUGCCUUUUUCCCGAAAUAUACUUCUGGUUCGGAGACAUGGCGUCGAUCCUAAGGAAUGCCUUUGUAAAUUUUCUGCACAAAUUUUGCUUUCAAUUAAUGUACGACACUCUCUACGAUUGGUGAAUCUGCGAGAAGGAAAGUAACUGCAGACGAUUUGUCGGAAUUUCGGUACCUCCUGAAACGAAAGCCGGUCUGGGUAAUGGCGGUGGUAAUCAGCAGUAAAAAAUUUCUAGUUAUAUAUAUAUAUAGAUAUAUAUAUAUAUAUAUAUAUAUAUAUAUGUAUACACAAACAAUAGUAGGAAAUAGAGCAGAAUGCCGCUAUCAAUAACAUAAUCAAAUGAAAAUCAAAUUUUAACCAACAAAGCAAAUUAAAUUUUAAAACUGAAUUCAAGUUUCAAAUAGUUUCGCCAUCAAAAAACAAUGGGAAAUGAAAAGCAUAUGUAACAAAAAAAAAAAAAAGGCAACAAAAAGAAAAAAUAUGGUUGUGAAUAACUAAGCAGCACCUAAAAGUAUGCAACGCAUUAAUUAAACAUUAAACCCCUAAAGAGUAUUAUGCGGGUCACAAAUAGCUAGUACGCGGAAAACCGAAAGAUAACCGAAGGAUGGCGGCAUACUCACUUUAUCAAAACGUUUGCAACAUCCAGAAGGAAACUUCAGAGACCACAUAAAGCAUUGAAUUCUGAAUCGAUCUACGCGUGUCCUGUUGCAAAAAUUAAGAUAUCGUUUUUAAAUUUUCUCAUCAAAUUUCCAAGUUUUUGCAGUGAAAAUCGGCCAAAAUCGGUCAAAAAACUUGCCUGCGAUACUGAGAAUAUCUCUGUUUCGCUUUUUUGUGCCCCUCACUCAUAAUUUAUAACAAAUACAAUGAUGAACAUUUUGACAAUAUAUUCAAGGUAGCAAAAAAUUAAAAAAAUCGGCCACAUCUACUAUAUAUAUGCUAAGGGCUAUCGAAAAUUCAUUUUUUUUUUUUACUUUUUUUCAAUACAAAAAGAUUGAAUAUAAUAUUUGCUACGGCAAACGAAACAAGCAAUAAUCGAAGGAAAGAAAGUUUUUACGCAGGCAAAUGCGGUUUGAAUAAAUUUAUUAAAUGAUUUGAUAGGAAGAAAAGCCGGAAAAUUUCUUGCAGUUAACACGAGGAAAUAAAUUGAUUGAAGUGUCAUAUAUUACAGUAAUAUUUUCGUAUUUCACAACAGCAAGAAAGAAGUCUACAUCACACAGAAAUAUUGUAAGCUUUCCAACUGUUUUGUUAUUGA
This is an RNA transcript of Glossina fuscipes, 5307 nucleotides long. It is a transcript of the gene named venom dipeptidyl peptidase 4, with no coding region annotated. Lineage: Eukaryota; Metazoa; Arthropoda; Insecta; Diptera; Glossinidae. The record is from RefSeq and is a predicted model, not a curated record. The transcript is spliced from 15 exons.